ACAAAUUCUGUCAUAUGAUGGUAUUGUAUUUACAUUAGGUUCCAUUCAGCAGUCGAUUUAAUAUUGUUUCCAUUGUGCGCUCGUCCCUCAGUGGUCGCAACACUGUUACCGUAAGUAUCGCAGGAAUCGGGCACUUCAACUAUAGCGACGAUUUGACCAGGGAAAAGCGAUCGGGGGUUCAUUGGACCGCGGUCUUUGACAGAGGUAAGAAGAAAGUCCUGGUUGUAACAGUGCAAAUAGUUUUACUAAGAUAGUUGUACGUUUAUACUUUUGCACUACACGUAAAUGGAAAAUAUUUUACCACAUUUUAUGUUUUGCAAGUUUAGCUUUAUUAGCGAUUUAUGUAUAAAUUAUAUUGGAGUGAAUUGUAUUGUAUACAUUGUAUAUAUUAUAUUACGAGCUGUUUACAAGCAAUUUUCAACUUUCUUUUUCUUUCUUUUAACUCCCUGAACGUGACAACGCAGCAGGAGACGAGCUUUCAUUGCUGAGUUUAAGUUGGAGCUUUGACACGUGUGGCGCUAGCUAGCCUACAAUGUGGCACGGCUGUCCGUGGGGUAGUGUCUACGGCGGGGCCGAUCCCGUACCGUUCUAUGCUAACGGCUAUGUGUUCGCCUUGGUGCCGGCGCCUCGGAUGCCCUUGCGUCACAACGCGCUGACUCUGAGUCCAAACCCAGGACUCAGGUGUCCGGACGAUGUGAUUAAAAAAAAGGAAGAGACCAGGAGGCUCCUCUUGGACAGGCGUUUGUUUGAUUUGGUGGAUGCUCAUCCUUAUCUUGAACUAACUGACCCCAAGUUGCUGGGCUGGUACCUUGGUUUGUCUGCAGAGGACAGGACGAUCAUCCAAGCUGACGGAGGACUUCAAAACUUUCUACUAAGACAUCCUGCCUUAGAACUGACUCCGCAUCACGUUUAUGUCAAGGGAAUGUCCCCUACAGUGCAAGAGUUGAACGUCUACAGCAAUAAUAUGUGGAAAAAUUCAGCUGUAUCAGACCCUACGAACAGACAGGAUGGGUCACAGAAACAGCCAUGUGAGGAUCCAGGAAUCCCAGGAAGCUUCUGUCUGGACACGGUGCUGGAGAGGUGCAGACCAAGCAGAAAGUCUGAGCACAGGAGCUUUAGGUUAGUGACCCAAGAUCAGACGCCCAACUUCAGCGAGGUCCAUCCAUCACAGUCUGAAUGGUCAACAAUUAAAAACACGUCUCUUACUGAGCUCUCCAGUUCUGACUAUCUCAGAACUACAGAAAAUGGCACAAAGAAAGAGAUUCAGGAUUGUCAGGUCUAUAAUGAGGGCACCAUUAACACAGCUAAUGUAGGCUCGAGUCAGGGGAGGGACAUUUGUACCAUAUUGGAUGAAGACAAGAGCAUCCUUGUUUGUGUUACCAGCGAUGAUCAGAAAACGUACUCGGGUACAGUCUCUCCAAAUGGUGAAACACUAGCACCCAGGAGUGAGCUCUUAGACGGCGGUCAGUCUCUCAACAACAGCUGCUCUGAGGAAAAAGGCCCUUUUCCGCUGCCUCGUGUUUCCUGUGACACAGAGUCUGCACAGUGUGUGUCAGCUUUCACCCAAACCAAUGAUCCAGUAUCAUCAGACAAGCAAAUCAAUACUGAAAUCUGCAUGGCAGAUGUGGACUACGUUGCUGUGGAAUUUCUCAGGCUCAAGAAAACUGAAGAGAAAGUGAAGAAUAAAUGUGACUGCAUGCAGCGCGCUCAACAAGCCGAGCUGUCUCUGCUGAGCCUGCAGUACCGCAUGUGCAGACAGCAUUGUUGGAGUCUCCACUGCGCCGCGGCUGGUGGAAACCAGGGCAGCGCUGAUGGGAAGCAACAUUGUCCAGUGGACCCUCCUGCAGACAUCAGUGCUGUUUUGAACAAACUGGAAUCUGACUAUAAUGAGCUAAGUGGUAGGAUCCUGGAAGGGGUUCCUCUAGAGCAACUGAAGCCUCUGUCAGUCAACUGUGGGAAGAUAACCCCAGCGCCUUACAUUCCUGCACAGGUCAUCGCCAGCAUGCAAGGAAGUGUUCCUCAACCGCCCCAGGAUCUGCAGAGGAACAGAACACCAACAAAUGACUCCCAGAGAGAAACCAAAGAGGUUACCCAGCAGAACAGCUCGGCCAAGAGAGCAGUCCCUGUCGUUCCUCAGGCGAGUGGAGCUCUGUGUGAUGCACAGACACUGGCAGACACUCAGACGGUUGACUGAUCAACCUCAUGGCUCCAGCGUCCACAACUCUGAUGACUGAGCUGACACGGUGCCAUCUGGACCUGGAGGCAGGAGAACUUGGGAGUCCGGGUGGAACUGAGGCCAUGUGCCAAGUUAUGAAGGAUCAGUCCUUUGGUGCCUGGAAUGUUGUGUUAACAUUAAUUUUGUUGCAUGUUGAAAUAGUUUGACAGCAGUUUAUUUCCAAGGCUUUUUUCAGUAACCUGUGUUCAUAUGAAAACAGUAUAUGAAUAUCUUGUUCUAAGGUUGUGUUUAAGGUUGCUCAUGUUGGAUGUGCAGGAAUUUGGUUGUCUGUUAAUAAAAAGUAUGUACAAAAACGCUUUGGUUAUUAU
Molecule: long non-coding RNA, 2544 nt
Organism: Betta splendens (Siamese fighting fish)
Lineage: Eukaryota; Metazoa; Chordata; Actinopteri; Anabantiformes; Osphronemidae
Product: RNA binding motif protein 44
Source: Ensembl